UACUCGGCUCUGCCAGUCUUUCAUGUUGCCUUUUUGUCCUUUGUGAGACGACAGUGCCGAGAGGC
This 65-nucleotide microRNA precursor is filed under the name Pristionchus pacificus. Its description in RNAcentral is "microRNA ppc-mir-8351 precursor". The record is from miRBase by way of RNAcentral. Lineage: Eukaryota; Metazoa; Nematoda; Chromadorea; Rhabditida; Neodiplogasteridae.